RNAcentral lists this long non-coding RNA (4849 nucleotides) under Triticum aestivum (bread wheat). RNAcentral's name for it is "long non-coding RNA (TAES_LNC001628)". The record is from RNAcentral. Lineage: Eukaryota; Viridiplantae; Streptophyta; Magnoliopsida; Poales; Poaceae.
AAGGGAAGGAGAACUCGCGCAGAGGUUCAGACGCCCGCGUCCUCGUGUCUGAUGGGACGCGUGAGUGGUGAUGGUGGAGUGGUGGCGCUGGUGAUGGUGGAUGAUGGUGCUGGUGGAUGGAGAUGGGUGAUGUGGUGCUGGAGGUGGGUGGCGCAACAGCGAAGGUGGAGGCGCGGUGGAGCGGUGGCGCGCUCCACGCCGGCCGGCUGCGGCGGCGGCCGGUGGUGGAGAAGGUGGGGUGAGGAAGAUGGAGAUGCCAGGCCCGAUGGGGAUUAGCUGCCGCUAGGGAUUUUGACCCCUCCUCUGAUCUGCCACUUUGCAAUUUUGGCCCUUCUCCUUUUCUUCUUUCUUCAUAAGAAGGUCCCUUUCUUCUUUCACUUGUCCCAUGGAGCAUCAUUUCUUCACACACAAGUCCCUCUGUCUUUCUUCUUCCUUUUCACUUGACUGGCUCUCUUAGCCACUAGUCCAGAUCUUGAAGUUUAUAGUGCCUUUGCAAACUUUUCUGCAAAAGGAACACAAUGACUGGUAAAUGAUACUUUAUAUGAUUUUCAUGCAAAUAUUCAAUAUUUCACAGCAAGAGUUGAUGGUCAUAUCUCAAUAAAUAAUAUAUUUCUAUGCCAAAAUUGUAUAUAUGAAAUGUGCUUAUCAAGUUCCCCCACACUUAAACUUUUGCUUGUCCUCAAGCAAAGGCAUAUGACAAGAGCAAGAAUGUGCACAGUGAGCUGACUAGAGAAUACCAAGUGAAGUAGAUCUCUAAACAGUGCAUGCUUUGGACUUAGCUAGUGAAAAUUAAUGGUCAAGAGUGCUACAAAGCAAUAGGAUACUAGUUGACUCAAUCAUUUUAUACUUUUACAAUGAUAAAAGUGGAUCAACAAGUUCAAAUGAUGAUUGUGCCAAAGGUUCCUAAAGAGAGCAUGAUCCAGAGCACAAAAAAGAACAUAAACUUGUGAUCAGUUCACUUAUUUACAGAAGUAAAGCAAUGAUAAUAUUUUAUCGAUCUCACCAAAGGAGCAUACCACUGAUCCCGAGAACAUGGUAUACACCUGGAUCGACCAAUUAUUAGUUAUUUUUUUUGUUUGUCUCCCCAAAGGAACAUACCACCGAUCCCGAGAACAUGGUAUACACCUGGUUCGACAAUUAAAUUUUUUUAUUAAUAAUUACUGCCCAAGCUAACCUGAUUUCACAUGCCACCGAUCUCGGGAACAUGACAUGCUACUGUAGGUAGCCAGACUUAUUUAUACAUUAUUAGUUAUCUUAAAUGAACAACGCAUAAGAACAAAAACAGGAAUCAUCACUUCUCCAUGUCUGGUUCACAUGCUACCGAUCCAGGGAACAUAGCAUGCUAAUCCAUAGUGGUUAGGUGAUUGCUCUCAAUGGGAAGACACUUGGCACAAAUUCAGCAUCUAAACAUGGUGAUCUAGGUGUAUCAAGGUAAAAGUAGAAAAUGAUUAAGUUUUCUAGUGUACUAGGGAUUUGAGCACUCAAAACUAAUAGCUUUCACUAAUUUCAGCAAAGCAAGCAUUGUAUAGAUCACUAGUUUACAAGGCAUUCAACACUCAGUUCACAUAUUCACAUCAAUCGCCCUAUGUGGAAGGUAAAAUUCAGUGGGACGGUAUUUAAGAAAUGACUCAAGCAACCCAAAUAAAAUUUGAUUUCAGCAUGUAUCAAUGGAUGAUAUACUCGGAAUGGGUCAUGAAACAGCUCACCGGGCUUUGAUGAUGUAGCACUCUCUCGAUCACCUCACCAACUGCAGCUCUUCUCCCUUGCUUCCUCAUGGAUGCUCCAGCUUCACUCUUCCAUAUGUGUGCCCCAUUGCUUCUCCUCAUCGCCAUUCUCUAGCUCCACCAGGAUCCCAGGGAAUGUCAUCUCGAACUUGGUCAGCAUGUAGUGGAUCGUGCACAAGCAACAACCUGAAAGAGCACUCAACCAAAGAGACAAUGCAAGUGGUAGGGAUAAUACCCUCCAAGUCAUCAAUCGAAUAUCCAAUUACAUAAGCAUAGCUAUAAAGCACAUGUUCAGGAUGGUAGAAAUCAGCAAGGUCAACACUAACACGAGGAUGAUAUUUAUCAUUAAGCUCAAGACUAGCAUGGGAAUGAUAUGUUUCAUUAAGCAUAGGACUAGCACGAGGAAAGUAACUAUGAUCAUCACAAAUGAGAGUAAUGCCACUAACAGGGUAUAUAUCAUCAUAUCCAAGCAAAUGAGUUUUCAAAUCAAUCUUAAGUGAUGGUAUCAUGUAAUGCAAGGUGGUAGCAAAGAAAUCACAAGGCAUCAUGUCAUCAAGAGGAUUGAGUAAACCUGACACAUCACGCUCUGGUAUGACAAUAGGCAAAUGAAUCUCAUGUUCUUCAUCUUCAUCUAUAGCAGCUUCUUGUACUUCUUUAGGAGUAAUAGAUGAUGAGUCUUCAACUUGAUCACUUGGGAAUUGCAGCUCUUGACCAUCUUGUUCCUUGUCUUCUAGUUCAUCUUCUUCAAUCUGAGGUCUUUCUUCCUCUGGACUCUUGCUAUCUUGCUCAACUGGAUGUGACGGUGUUGGAACCUCGCAUGUAUCAAGGGGAAUCUCGUCCACACUCAACUCAAGGAGGGAAGAGAUAGUACUGCCAGCGUUGAUGUUCUUCUCAAUCUUCCACUAGCUCCUUUCCACUCUUAAUCUUCUUCAUUUCCUCAAGUAUCACCUUCCUAAUAGGAUCAUCCUCGGCACUCCAAGUGAACUCGAGACUCAAAAGUGUGAGCUUGUCUAUGUCAUCGAACUCAUCUUGAGUGGGCACUUGCACAUGAGAUUGCACAACAGGUGCUGGAGUUGUUGGUUGACCAAAUGGAGGACCAUUUAACUCCAUUGGACACAUCUUCUGGUGUAGAGGUAUAUGAAUAGGAGCUGAAUAAGACUGUUGUGGAGCAUAGUUGUGGUUCUCCUCAUUGUACCUGAAUCCCUGCGUAUGAUUACUAGAAGCAAACGGUGAGAUCUCAGGGUUAUUGCUCCUAUAUGACAUAUUCUGGUUUUCAGGCCACCCAUGUGUGUAAUUGUUUUGGUAUGAGCUAUGCUGUUGAGCGAAGCUCAUGCCAAAACAAUCCGGAGGAUGGGAGUAACCACGCUGACAUUCAGCGGGCGAAUGGCCCUGAAAUCCACAAAUAUGGCAGGUAGGAGCAACAUAAGGAUGGCCUCUAGAAUAAGGAACAUAAGAGCAAGGCCUAUCCUCAAAAACUACUUCUCGCUGCCGAGCUAAAUCAUCUAAUCGAUGGGAAAUCUUACCUAUGAGUUCUUGAACACUUUCCGUGUUGUUUGUAGUGUUGCUCGCAUAAGCCUGAUGAUCUAAAUAGUAAGCCAUAACCAAGAGGAUAAUCCAACCUGCAAAAAGGAAAAGAAGACAAAAAGAUACUAACUAAAACAGGGGUUAGUGGCUAGAGAUAUAUCACAAAUAUAUGGCACAAGAUGAAAAUAAGAAAAACCUAGUCUAUAGCCUAGCACAAUCGCUCGACGCUAGUCCCCGACAACGGCGCCAAAAUGAUCAUUUGUAAUAUAGCGGGGUUUUUACGCCCCAAACUACGAGUGUCGUGUUCUCCACAGGGACUAGGCGAUGGAAACUAUGCUCGGCUAAAGCUAGGUAACAUGAUAUUGGGUGAUGAAAAUAGAAAAUAAAGUAACACUAACAAGAGUAUCAAUAAAGGAAAAGACACAGAAACAAAGGGAGGUUCAGAUUGUACUUUUAGUCUUUUUGGUAUUAUCGUUUUACUUGAGAAAGUAGACACUAACACAAGAAUACAAAUAUGACCAAAUGGAAACAACAAUACUAGAACACAUAUAUUUAUCUAACAAAUGUAUGACAGAGAGAAGAAACAAGAUAAAGGACAUGGAUGAUAAUGCUUCAUGUCACAACAAAUAUUACAUGUACAGAGCUAAUACAGAGACUGGAAAUUAAAUGAUCACACAACUGACUACCACAAAGAGUAAUUUCAAUACAAAAUAGAAUCACGAGUAGUAAUCUGAAUUUAUACAAACCACUAACUGAAAUACAUGCCCCAUAUAUAUAAUUGUUUCACAUCAAACACACACACAUAUGCAUUUAUGUCACACGAACAAUAAACUGGACACAAAUCAUCAGCAAGUACAGAAUAUGUGUGACAUAUAUAGCUAGUUCUUACACGUCAACAAAAGUGACACUAAAUUGUUCUACUUCUUGCAGAUUAAUAGAGAACAACCAAACAAGCACAAGUCUGAAUAACACAAGGUCUAACAACGUCUCUGCUACAUAGAAAUUACACACACACACACACACAGAGAGAGAGAGAGAGAGAGAAGCAGUAGGGCGUGAGAGGAGCAGCAGAGAGAGUUGAGGGAGAAGCAGCAGGGGCGCAGCAAGAAGGUGCAGCAAUAGAAGAAGAGCAUCAGAAAGACAGAGAGGCAAGGAGCAAGAACAGCGAGGCAAGGGAAGAAGAAGAGCAGUAGCAGUAGGGGAGGAAGAGAGAAGGCGCAGCAGCAGGUCAGGGAGAUAUAAAGCAGCAGCAAGGCGAUGGAGAGAGGGAGUAGUAGCAGCAGGAGGUCGAGGGUAAGAAGGACAGCAACACAGGGGUGCAAGGAAGAGCAGCAGCAGAAGUAAGGGAAGGAGAACUCGCGCGGAGGUUCAGACGCCUGCGUCCUCGUGUCUGAUGGGACGCGUGAGUGGUGAUGGUGGAGUGGUGGCGCUGGUGAUGGUGGAUGAUGGUGCUGGUGGAUGGAGAUGGGUGAUGUGGUGCUGGAGGUGGGUGGCGCGACGGCGAAGGUGGAGGCGCGGUGGAGCGGUGGAGCUCCCCACACCGGCCUGGCUGCGGCGGCGGCCGGUGGUGGAGAAGGUGGGGUGAGGAAGAUGGAGAUGCC